This 441-nucleotide ribosomal RNA is filed under the name uncultured bacterium. RNAcentral describes it as "partial 16S ribosomal RNA". It matches the Rfam family "Bacterial small subunit ribosomal RNA", at positions 338 to 795 of the family's 1533-position model. The record is from RNAcentral.
CCUACGGGUGGCAGCAGUGGGGAAUAUUGGGCAAUGGAGGAAACUCUGACCCAGCAACGCCGCGUGAAGGAUGAAGGUUUUCGGAUUGUAAACUUCUGUCGCGAGGGAUGAAGAUUGACGGUACCUCGUAAGAAAGCCCCGGCAACCUACGUGCCAGCAGCCGCGGUAAUACGUAGGGGGCGAGCGUUGUCCGGAAGGACUGGGGGUAAAGGUAGUGUGGACGGCAGAUUAAGUUAUGUGUGAAGGCCCGCGGGUCAACCGCGGAAUUGCACAUAAAACUGGUAAGCUGGAGUGCAGGAGAGGUAAGUGGAAUUCCCGGUGUAGCGGUGGAAUGCGUAGAUAUUGGGAGGAACACCAGAGGCGAAGGCGACUUACUGGACUGUAACUGACGCUGAGGCUCGAAAGCGUGGGGAGCAAACAGGAUUAGAUACCCGUGUAGUC